RNAcentral lists this ribosomal RNA (253 nucleotides) under uncultured bacterium. Its description in RNAcentral is "partial 16S ribosomal RNA". It matches the Rfam family "Bacterial small subunit ribosomal RNA", at positions 524 to 776 of the family's 1533-position model. The record is from RNAcentral.
UACGGGGGGGGCAAGCGUUGUUCGGAAUUACUGGGCGUAAAGGGCGCGUAGGCGGACAGUUAAGUUGGGGGUGAAAGCCCGGGGCUCAACCUCGGAAUUGCCUUCAAUACUGGCUGUCUUGAGUGUGAGAGAGGUGUGUGGAACUCCGAGUGUAGAGGUGAAAUUCGUAGAUAUUCGGAAGAACACCAGUGGCGAAGGCGAUACACUGGCUCACUACUGACGCUGAGGCGCGAAAGCGUGGGGAGCAAACAGG